GGGCCCGCACAAGCGGAGGAACAUGUGGUUUAAUUCGAUGAUACGCGAGGAACCUUACCUGGGCUUAAAUGUGAGACGACCGCCGAAGAAAUUUGGCUUUCCGCAAGGACGACUUACAAGGUGCUGCA
This 128-nucleotide ribosomal RNA is filed under the name uncultured bacterium. Its description in RNAcentral is "partial 16S ribosomal RNA". It matches the Rfam family "Bacterial small subunit ribosomal RNA", at positions 917 to 1045 of the family's 1533-position model. The record is from RNAcentral.